GACGAACGCUGGCGGCGUACUUAACACAUGCAAGUCGAACGGAAAGGCCCUGCUUUUGUGGGGUGCUCGAGUGGCGAACGGGUGAGUAACACGUGAGUAACCUGCCCUUGACUUUGGGAUAACUUCAGGAAACUGGGGCUAAUACCGGAUAGGAGCUCCUGCUGCAUGGUGGGGGUUGGAAAGUUUCGGCGGUUGGGGAUGGACUCGCGGCUUAUCAGCUUGUUGGUGGGGUAGUGGCUUACCAAGGCUUUGACGGGUAGCCGGCCUGAGAGGGUGACCGGCCACAUUGGGACUGAGAUACGGCCCAGACUCCUACGGGAGGCAGCAGUGGGGAAUAUUGCACAAUGGGCGGAAGCCUGAUGCAGCAACGCCGCGUGCGGGAUGACGGCCUUCGGGUUGUAAACCGCUUUCGCCUGUGACGAAGCGUGAGUGACGGUAAUGGGUAAAGAAGCACCGGCUAACUACGUGCCAGCAGCCGCGGUGAUACGUAGGGUGCGAGCGUUGUCCGGAUUUAUUGGGCGUAAAGGGCUCGUAGGUGGUUGAUCGCGUCGGAAGUGUAAUCUUGGGGCUUAACCCUGAGCGUGCCUUCGAUACGGGUUGACUUGAGGAAGGUAGGGGAGAAUGGAAUUCCUGGUGGAGCGGUGGAAUGCGCAGAUAUCAGGAGGAACACCAGUGGCGAAGGCGGUUCUCUGGGCCUUUCCUGACGCUGAGGAGCGAAAGCGUGGGGAGCGAACAGGCUUAGAUACCCUGGUAGUCCACGCUGUAAACGGUGGGUACUAGGUGUGGGGUCCAUUCCACGGGUUCCGUGCCGUAGCUAACGCUUUAAGUACCCCGCCUGGGGAGUACGGCCGCAAGGCUAAAACUCAAAGGAAUUGACGGGGCCCCGCACAAGCGGCGGAGCAUGCGGAUUAAUUCGAUGCAACGCGUAGAACCUUACCUGGGUUUGACAUGGAUCGGGAGUGCUCAGAGAUGGGUGUGCCUCUUUUGGGGUCGGUUCACAGGUGGUGCAUGGCUGUCGUCAGCUCGUGUCGUGAGAUGUUGGGUUAAGUCCCGCAACGAGCGCAACCCUUGUUCACUGUUGCCAGCACGUUAUGGUGGGGACUCAGUGGAGACCGCCGGGGUCAACUCGGAGGAAGGUGGGGAUGACGUCAAGUCAUCAUGCCCCUUAUGUCCAGGGCUUCACGCAUGCUACAAUGGCUGGUACAGAGAGUGGCGAGCCUGUGAGGGUGAGCGAAUCUCGGAAAGCCGGUCUCAGUUCGGAUUGGGGUCUGCAACUCGACCUCAUGAAGUCGGAGUCGCUAGUAAUCGCAGAUCAGCAACGCUGCGGUGAAUACGUUCCCGGGGCU
This 1346-nucleotide ribosomal RNA is filed under the name uncultured bacterium. RNAcentral's name for it is "partial 16S ribosomal RNA". It matches the Rfam family "Bacterial small subunit ribosomal RNA", at positions 28 to 1381 of the family's 1533-position model. The record is from RNAcentral.